UAUACUUAAUAAUGCUUGCUCCUUAUAUUCAAAGUGGUUUUACUUAACCCUAACUCAACGUACUUAUGUUUUAAAUUUGAUAAGUGUUUUUCAAAGAUACAAGGUGUAACAGAAACAUAAAGCUGGAAAUGGAGCAGCGGAUUCUAAAACAGAAUUGGAAAAAUAUCUUAGUGAAGAAAAUGAAGUUGAAAGGCCUAACUUUAAGAUCUUGUCUUGGUGGAAAAUAAACUCACCUCGAUUUCCUGUUCUUGCUGAGAUGGCUCGGGAUGUGUUAGCUAUUCCUAUUUCAAGUGUGACAUCCGAGUGUGCAUUUAGUACCGGAGGACGUAUUUUGGAUUCAUUUAGGAGUUCAUUGACUCCUAAAUUGGUGUAAGCACUAGUGUGCCUUCAAUAUUGGAUUCGGAGUGAAAAACAACCUGUGAGUGUUGAAGAAGAUCUAGAUAACCUCGAGCAGCUUGAACAAGAUUUGGCCAACUCUAGCAUUCUUGAUGAUUGACGUGGAGCGGUGGAGUCAGAACUCUUCAUUUUUGCACUUGGAUCUGAUGAAUUAGUUGUUCAUUUUUAAAGGUCUUUGGUUAGUGUUGCUGUAGUUUUUUGGAUCUUUGAAGUUCUUUGGCUUGGUGCUGCUUACUGCUUUAUUUUGUAUUUUGUAGUUUUGUUUUGCAUUUUAUAGCUUGUCUUGCAGCUGGUGUUUUCUUUCCGAAGAAGUUAGCCUUUUUUAUGAACAAAUGAACUAUGAACUGGCCUUGUUUUGUUUUUGAAAUAUUGCUACAAUGCAUUUUAUAGCUUUUGUCUUGUAAUUUGUGUCAAUUUUAUGCAUGAAGGCAGUGUAUAACUAUAUAUAUGAACAAAUGAAAACAAGAUAAAGCAAAAACAAUAAAAUAGCGGAGCAUUUUCUUAUUGGUUAAA
This is a long non-coding RNA of Lycium ferocissimum, 909 nucleotides long. RefSeq lists it as uncharacterized. The transcript has 3 exons. The record is from RefSeq and is a predicted model, not a curated record. Lineage: Eukaryota; Viridiplantae; Streptophyta; Magnoliopsida; Solanales; Solanaceae.